UCUUUGCGUUCAGGCAGCUUGUUUGCUGGAGGGCAUUCAGCUAGGAGUUUGCAGGGACAGCGUAGACAAAGGAGGUGGUGCAAGAGCGCAAAACUAAUUCAUGGGGAGGAUAUCUCAGCCUGUAUUUUGGAAGCGGCAGGUUUGUUCCUGAAAUCACGGACCUAACGCUGCGCUAGAUUGCAAAGGAUGAGGCCCUUUUCUAAUCUAAAAACCUGCCUUUUUUCUUAAGUGGUAACGGGGGUGGGGGGGGGGAGGGCGGGGGAUGUAAAAGGAAAAUGGACAUCUUCCCUGUUGCUUUUGGCUCUUGUUCUUGCCCUAGUAGUUUUACUGUAAUUUGACGCCUGAAAAUGUCACAUUAUGAGGCUCUGAUACUAAUCGGAACUACUAGUCAAGGCUUUUCAGGUCACGGGUGCCGACCAAAAGGGAAAUAGGUAAUAUUUUCAAGAAUUGUCUUUGAAACCGUUUGGCUUAACAUCAUGUUUUCCUAUAAACAUGGGCUUUGUUUAGUUAUUUGAUGUAAAUAUGUAUUUGUUUAAAUUAUUGGUCAUGGUUUGAAGGAAACGUUUUCCACAUCAUGGAAUAUGAUUUUUUGGUUUGGGGCCCACUUUGAACUUUUGGAAAAUAUCUGCUAUUGUCUCAGCCCUCAUUGUCACCCUGAGAAUGCUGAGAGGGGAUUUUUCUUUUCUAAACUGCUGUUUAUGUUAGGAUGACCUAAAGUAGGCAACCUAAAUAAAGUAAUGGUUUGUUUUUACAGUCAAAAUAUUAACUAUCAUGCCCCUCUGAGGUCUAUAUUUGUAUGCCAAAGUGCUAAGCCGUUUUCUUCUUUGAGGCAGUCUGGCUGGGGAAAAAGAAUCACAUAAGGCCUUUACUGUAGCCUGUCCCCCAACUCAGACUGGGCUCUUAUUAAAAGGCCGUUUUACACCAGUAAUCAGGUGCUUAAGGUGCAUUUCUCAUCUCCACUGUGUUAAAAACGGCAAUUAGGGUCCCAGCUUGGCCGUAGAAACAACUUUUGUCUUGGGUUCAUUCAGUAAAUAUUUGCGUUCCUGCUCUGUGCCAGUCACUGUGGUUGAGAUGCAUAGUGUUGCCAGACUCUGGCACUAACAAUGGUAGCCUCUUUUCUAGUGGGGAGAACCGUGAGGGUCACGUGGAAGGGUAGAAAGAGGAAGAGAGAGGCAAGCUGUUCUGGAGCAAGAGCUGGCCCUCUGCAGUGUUGUGAAAUCUGUGGUUUGUCUUUGAGGCUUGGUUCCCUCAAGCACCCCAAAUCCAUGGUCUGAACUUAAGAUCCUUGCCUCCAAGUGUUCAUGUGCUUCAACUACUUGUUGCUUGCCUGUCACCCCAAACAAAAGCCCCAUCUUAAGAAAGCUUGUUUUAGGUAUUUCAGUAGAAGGAUAUUGGGAACUAGCUCAUGUGUAUUGGUUAGUCCUAUUCCCCUCUCACUGUGGUGGCAGCAUUGUAGGAUUAAAGGUUCUGAGUCAGGCCUGAACUCUGCUUAUAUUGUGUGACACUGGAAAAGCAGUUGUGCCAUUUAGCCUCAGUUUUCUCAUCGGUAAAAUGGAAUGAUGAAGUGUACAUCUUUUUAGGUUGUUGAAAGGUUUACAUGGUUCCUUAAUUCUGAAAAGAGGAGAUUUGUUAACCUAAAGGAAUCUCUCAAUUGGUGGGGUUUUAGACACUGCAACAAAAUGAACACAUUUGGACAGUGUAUGAAGACUGAGUAUGAGGUCAUUCCCCCUGAGUUUUAGUCUCCUUUCCUUCAUUCUUGGGGUCAUUUUGUGUCCCUCCCAUACGGGCUUGCUCCAGGUUUUCUCUUGGUGGCGGUGGUGGGGGUGGGGGAGGGGGAUCCCUACAGGUGGUUUCAGUCUCUCUUUCUACCAGCGGUCUUCACACAGAUGAUCUUUUUAGUCCAGCAAAUAUUACGUGAAAUCCUGUGUGCCAAGUACGACAAGGCAUUGGUGAAGGAGACGCAACAGCAGUCAACGAAACAGAUUUUUAAAUGCCUGUCUCUGUGAAGCAUAGCUUCUACAAUUUUGAAUUGGGGAGAAUUCUUGACAUGUUUAUUGAGGACUUACUGUGUGUUGACACCUAAGCAAAGUAUUAUUCAGAUUACACACAAAGUUAUGAGACAGGUCUUGACCCCAAAACAGCUGUGGCCAGCAUGUGAAAUUCAUGAAAAUUCAUUUUGAGGGUGUUAGGUAGAAAUGAACAUAAAGACAAAAGAACUUUAUAGUUUUCCUGGAGUUUAACAUGAUGGCUCAUUUUCAAGCUGUGGAUUGAUUUAUGAAAUCAGAAACCUUUCGCUUUGUUUUGCAGUGCUACUAUCAAUUUGGCAUGUGUGAAUUUCUGAAUAAGAUUUAUUUGUCCUAUCCCUUUAAAGAGCAAAUAGUCAAUUUUUUUCUUAGGCACUUUGGUAUUUUAAAAGUAUGUUUUGGCAAGUGCUAUACUUUAUGUAGUAUACCUUAUGAGAUACUUUAUAAACAAGUGUACUUUAAAAAUAUGUCUUUGUCAUUAAGUCGAAUGCAUUGGUGGGUAGAGAAUCAUUUGCUGGAGGCUAACAAAUUUUAUAUUUUAACUGGUAAAGAAUUUAUGUUAAGAAACAGAGUUUUGAAGGAGCAUGUCUUGUAUUUAUGCACAGAUCACGGUUGCUUUCUUAUUACUUACUCAAAUGGUAAGCUUAGAACUGGAAGCAAAAUAUUUAGUAUCUUUGCAGAGAAGCCUCGCUAGGGUCUGCUAUGGAGCAGACAUUGUAAAUGUGCUUUAUGUGUGUGCACACUAACUUUUUGUUUGAGCCCAGAGUGGGGGUUGGGAAAGGAGAAAGCCCUGUGUUGAUUAUGUAUGCUGAUGUGCUGUUGGGGAAGGAUUUAACAUCAGCCACUUCUUGCUUUGCAUAGAAAUUUUCAGGAUUAGAUGUUACAGCCUUCGAGAAUCAUUUUACCAAAUAAUAAACCUUUUUUUGCUGACUUGCUUAGGAAUACAAUAAAACUAAAAAAAAUGAAUCUUAGGUUUUUGUGUUUAAAAAAAGUAAUCCUGUUGGAUGAAGCCUUUAAUGGUUCCUUUAAUGAAUCUGAAACUGGUUUUUAGGAAUUCUCAUAAACAGUGAAGGAGAUUGAUGUAAAAACAGGAGUUUGUGUGAAAGGGAUCAUGGACUCUUGGACACAGAUUUCAAAAUAUCCAGAGAAAACGGACAUAUGAUCAUGAGAGCAAGGGCUCUGAAUAUUCAAAAAGAGAUGGAGGCUCUAAAAA
Molecule: long non-coding RNA, 3237 nt
Organism: Sapajus apella (tufted capuchin)
Lineage: Eukaryota; Metazoa; Chordata; Mammalia; Primates; Cebidae
Exons: 2
Source: RefSeq, a predicted model, not a curated record